This 253-nucleotide ribosomal RNA is filed under the name uncultured bacterium. Its description in RNAcentral is "partial 16S ribosomal RNA". It matches the Rfam family "Bacterial small subunit ribosomal RNA", at positions 524 to 776 of the family's 1533-position model. The record is from RNAcentral.
UACGUAGGAUGCAAGCGUUAUCCGGAAUCAUUGGGCGUAAAGCGUUCGUAGGUGGUUUGGAAAGUUUGUGGUUAAAUCUGGUCGCUCAACGAUCAACUCGCCACAAAAACUCCCAAACUUGAGAUUGGCAGAGGCAACUGGAAUUCCACAUGUAGGGGUAAAAUCCGUUGAUAUGUGGAGGAACACCAAAAGCGAAGGCAGGUUGCUGGGCCACUUCUGACACUCAAGAACGAAAGCGUGGGGAGCAAACAGG